This 468-nucleotide ribosomal RNA is filed under the name uncultured bacterium. RNAcentral's name for it is "partial 16S ribosomal RNA". It matches the Rfam family "Bacterial small subunit ribosomal RNA", at positions 28 to 507 of the family's 1533-position model. The record is from RNAcentral.
GACGAACGCUGGCGGCGUGCUUAACACAUGCAAGUCGAACGGAAAGGCCCUGCUUUUGUGGGGUGCUCGAGUGGCGAACGGGUGAGUAACACGUGAGUAACCUGCCCUUGACUUUGGGAUAACUUCAGGAAACUGGGGCUAAUACCGGAUAGGAGCUCCUGCUGCAUGGUGGGGGUUGGAAAGUUUCGGCGGUUGGGGAUGGACUCGCGGCUUAUCAGCUUGUUGGUGGGGUAGUGGCUUACCAAGGCUUUGACGGGUAGCCGGCCUGAGAGGGUGACCGGCAACAUUGGGACUGAGAUACGGCCCAGACUCCUACGGGAGGCAGCAGUGGGGAAUAUUGCACAAUGGGCGGAAGCCUGAUGCAGCAACGCCGCGUGCGGGAUGACGGCCUUCGGGUUAUAAACCGCUUUCGCCUGUGACGAAGCGUGAGUGACGGUAAUGGGUAAAGAAGCACCGGCUAACUACGUG